Long non-coding RNA from Gallus gallus (chicken), 8842 nucleotides. NCBI's taxonomy places the organism in Eukaryota, Metazoa, Chordata, Aves, Galliformes, Phasianidae. The record is from Ensembl.
GUGGACUCUCAGAGCUUAUUGGAGAGAGCAGACUCUCCGACUUACUGUUGGAGGCCAGUUACAAGAAUGAAAAGGAGAUCAUUUGCAUUCCCCACUCUCAACAAGGGAUGAAGACUAUUUUAAAAGAAGCCUGUAACAGCCAUAGCAAUAGACAGUACUUUCUGGGAUAGCAGUAUCUGCAGAAAACUGCACAGUGGUUCAGCAUCUAUGAAUAACAGAGCCCUUCCCUCUGCGGGAUUCACAAUUUUCCCCUCAGCCCCACCAAAGCUAACUGAAAUGGACAGCACAAACCAUUGAAGCUCUUCUUUUCAGAGAAAGAAGAAAAACAACAAGAGAAACAUUUAUAUGACACACUAUUUAACAAAAGACAACAAACAACAAACCUCCAACUUCAGAUACUGCAGAAAACCAUCAUCCUGUGACCAAGAACUGCAGAAUGCCUGAGCAAACUUAAAAGAAACUCUUUCAGUUUCCUUGCUGGAUCAUCUUCAGCUAUCUUGCCUCUCCAGAGCUCUCCAGAAUUUGUGGCACUUGGAGGAUGCACUGAAAAGCAUUGCAUCUUUCUGACUCCCAGGGAAGCCGUGCAACUUCAGAGAGAGGUAAUAAGCAAGCUGCGGAAUCUGAGAGUGAGAGCAAGUUGGAAGGACACCAAAAUGGUGUUGGUACAAGAUGGGUUUGCAGGGGCACUUCACAUCCUUCCUCUGCCAUGCUGAGACGGAGAGCUGACCUCACAAUUUCACAUUAUAUUCAGAGCUUAUACCAAAUAGGUUUAACUUCUUUCUUGUUUGGUUGGUUUUGGCCUCAGUCUGGAUAGUCUGGAAAUGGCCAUACAAGUUAGAAAUGUAUCAUUUCUGUUUGAACCAAGUGAAUGAAGUUUUCAACAGUUUUCCAGGUCAGAUAAACGGAUGACUGUUGUGUCAGUGUUACCACCUCAGCAUCAGAGGGUUAUUCACACCACUUACAUUAGCCAGACAGCUCAGCCAAAAAUCAGGUUGGCUAGGACCACUCUGGAGCACACUGGCAGGGGAAAAGCAGCUCUAGGAAGAAGAAUCCUCAGGACAGUGUAGGAGCACCACACAUGUAAGAAGCUCUGGAAAAUCCCAGCAGACUGGAGAGGAACCCUUUGACUGCAGGAUUUUAUUACUUAAGACACCACAAAACAGCACCAACCAAGGGACAGGACUUCCAGUUGAUGAAUGGGUAAGACAGUGAAGCUAGCAUUCCACAACAAAGAUUGUGGCCACAGUUUAAGAAAGUUUCUGAUUUAGUUUCUUCUACAAAGGACACCAACAUGUUUCAUCCUGGUGAUUCUAAGAACUUGUUUUUCUUUGCUAAAUUUUUCCACCACUGAGCCUUGUUAUUAUUCUGCGAAGUAACAACAGAUUACUUCAGAGCAGAAGAGAUUUAUGCAUUUAUACAUCACAGAAAUGCCUGAAUGCUAACUGCCUGCACUUCCGAGAUAAAAGCUGGGGUGCUCUGCCUGCUGGUGCACUGACCUAAAUGCAGACACAUACAGAAUCACACAACCUGUUUACCAUCUAGAUGUCCUAUGCUUUCUGUAGGCAUGGCAUUGCUCCUGUAGGCUUCACCACAGAGACGAGGCGGAGAAGGAAAGCACCUUGAGAUGUUCCAUGGCAGGAGAAGCUGUAUCUCAAUACCACUCUUAUUGGAUGCUUGUUUUCCCUGCUCUAGAAGGCAGUUCUAAAAGGAGGGCUCCCCAGCUUCACAGACAUUCUUGUCAUGUUCCUCGCUAUCCUACUGUGACUUCUUGAUUUCUAAUUUUCUCUGCAGUUUAGGACCAAUACUUCAUGUUUUGUUCACCACAGAUACAGAGAUCAUUUCCUCCUCUUUCCACUUGAAAAAUGUUAUCCUGUCCCUUAAGUCUGCUCUCCUUUUAUCGUCUUAAACUAUUUCCUUAGUUCACAUUUACUAGAUAUCACCACCUUGCUAUAUUCAUAGAAUCAUAGAAUUAUAGAAUGGUUUAGGUUGGAGGGGACCUUAAAGAUCAUCUAGUUCCAUCCAUGCCAUGGGCAGGGUUGCCAACCACUAGAUCAGGCUACCCAGGAACUCAUCUUGGGAUACUCCAUCCUCUCCAAGUGAUCUCUGGCUUUUUUAAAGUGCAAUGCCUGAUACUGGAUAUGAAAUAGGUUUACCAGCAGAAGGAUUAUUUAAUGUCUUUGUCGUUUACACAUUCAUCUGAGGACGGACUUUCUCCGUUUCACAACAGGCUGAUAUUGCUCACACGUGCUUAGUUCAUGAUUCAACAUAGUUCCUAGAUCCUUUCUGAAAGAAAUCAAAGUUUUUCAUCCUAUAUUUAAUAAAUCAUUUUUUCCAACUGCUAUGCAUGAUGCUCUAUGGAAGUCCAUACUAUUUUUAGGAAAUGUCUCCAAUUUGUAAAAAUCAUAUUAAUUCCAGCUCUUUCCCCUGUUGUGCUUGCAGCCUUUCUCAGACUUCUUUUAUCUUCAGAUUUACCAAACCUCCCAUGAACCAGCUCAUUAAAAAGAGCAUUAGAUGAAGCUGCAUGGAGAACAGACACUCGUGCGCUACUCACAGGCAGAGAUUUUCUUAUCAUAACUUAAUAAUAUAUAUUUUGAAAUUCCUGUCCCCCUUUUGACACCAACAACCACUUCUCUGAGCUGUGAGCUACCAAUUCACCUACACAGAGGCUGUAAUAAAAUCCUAGAAAGCAUUUCCUAAUUGAUACCUCUGAGCUUCAGCCAGGCACAUGAAUCUGAGAUCUUAAAUUAUCUUAAUUCAUAUCAGUGUGGAUUCACACCUCAUGUUAAUACUAGAGAAUUUGUGUCCCUUCCAGAUAACAGAAAUGUUUGAAAAGCCAGAGCCUUUCUUUCUGGUGCUCUACAUCUCCUUGCUGAAGGUAACUAUUGCAAACACGGUGCAUUUAGAGUAUAUUAUUUAUCUUUCAUUUAUGUGACUGGUACAGGCUUGGUUUUUCUCUGCUGAACUCCUUAAGAUUUGAAUCCCCUCCUUCAACACAGCAGAGUGGUAUGUCAGCAGCCUUCAAUGCACAGGCAGCGUGCUCUGAUGAGCUGGGAGCCAGAAAAUCCCUAAUUCCAAACCCAACUUCACCAUGCAGACAAUUGCAUAGAUCUAGAGAGGCGUUUUAGCUCCCUCCCUUGCCUUCCUACCAGCCAGCACUAAACCAACAGAACAGUGAUGUUUACCAUGUUUUCAGUCUAAGUCAAAAAUGAAUACCCUCAGUGACUUGCACCCAGCUAAAAUCUCUUAACUACAAUUCCUCUUUCAUAUUUUCAAGCAUAUUUGCAAACAGCAUCUUGGAAAUAGGCUACCAGAUCUUCAGUUGGUGCAACUGGGAGGUUCCACAGAUGGCCAGGAGAACAGUUCAUGAAGGCAUUAUGUUAUUAAACUAUCUGGUUUUGUAAAUCCAAUUUGACAAGAGCUAUUAUAAAAUCAGUUUCUGCGCCCUUGAGCUUUACUGCAAAAUACCUGCAUUUAGCCUUCUUUUUUUUCUACUGAGGAUACAAAUUUUUUAGAAGCUGAAUCUCUUAAUGGAAUUGAUGUAUCAGGGAAGAGCAGGAGGAUUUCUUAAACAAAACAAAAAGUAAACAUAUGGAAGGGAAGCAGAAGAAGGGAAGCAUAGCUUCACUACAGAGAGUCUUUCUGUGUAAUAAAAUACUAAAGAAAUACUGUGAGAAAUCAACCACAGGAAAAUUAGGAGCUACAAAACUGGAGAUAAAGCAGAAUUGGAAGUAAAAGAAGCAGAGCAGGAAUACAAUCUGGAAGGUCAAUUGAUAAAAUAUGUAGCAAGCACUGAACCAACACCAAUCAAUACCACUCAGUAUGAGCCGAAUAACAGCCUAAUAACCACAUCACAUCCACUUUAUGGUACUAUCUAUCACAGCAACAGCAGGAGGUUGUGGCAAUUCCACUUUCUGCACACUCGGAUGGACUAGCCUCACCCAGACCUCCCAGUGUCUCUUCAUGCCACCAUGAAGGCAGCGGCGCUGUCCUGCAGCAACCAACACCAUCCUUCAGUUGAGCUCACCAAAUGUUCGGGACAGCAAAUCUGGGAUGUGUGAUAGGCAGAGUAGUGAGGAGCUGAGCACGAAGCCAGAUUUGAUGUCAGGGGACAUCAAAUCUAUAUAGGUUAGGGACUGACCUGCUGGAGAGCAGCAUAGGGGAAAAGGACCUGGGGGUGCUGGUGGACAGCAGGACCACCCUGAGCCAGCACCAUGCCCUUGAGGCCAAGAAGGCCAAUGGCAUCCUGGGGUGUAUUAGAAGGGGAGAGUUUAGUAGGUUGAGAGAGGUUCUCUCCCUCUACUCUGCCCCAGUGAGACUGCAUCUGGAAUAUUGCAUCCAGUUCUGGGCCCCUCAGUUCAAGAAGGACAGGGAACUGCUUGGGAGAGUCCAGCACAGAGCCACAAAGAUGAUUAAGGAUGUGGAGCAUCUCCCUUAUGAGGAGAGGCCAAGGGAGCUGUGUCUCUUUAGCUUAGAGAAGAGGAGACUGAGGGGUGACCUCAUUACUGCUCAUAAAUCUGUAAAGGGUGUCAGGACGAUGGAGCCAGGCUCUUCUCAGUCACAAGGGGCAAUGGGUGCAGUAUGGAACAUAAGAGGUUCCACAAAAAUAUGAGAAAAAACUACCCUUGAGUAAGGGUAACAGAACACUGGAGCAGGAUGCCCAGAGAGGUAGUGGGGUCUCCUUCUCUGAAGACAUUCAAAACACUCCUGGAUGCAUUCCUGUGUGACCUGGUUUAGGUGUUCCUGCCCUGGCAGGGGGAUUGAACUAGAUGAUCUUUCAAGGUCCCUUCCAUUCCCUGACAUCCUGUGAUUCUGUGACUUCUCCAUAAAAGGGGACAAACUGACAGUAAGGACUGAACUGAGAUGAGACUGGGCACCACACCAGAUGAUGAGAAAAGUCAAGCCUGGCUCAUUUUUUAUAACAUGCAAUGGAGAAGUAUUGGCCUCUUUCAAAUCAGUAAAAAAUCCUCCAUAUGGUUCCAAAGAGCCUGAGAAUUCAUCCCUCAUUUUGACCUAAUGUUAAAAAAGUUGAUACACGGCAUAAUUUAUAUCUUUCCUAAAAUGCUGGUGGAUUGUCUUCAAGGUUUGAAUAUGGAAAGAUAAUCAGCAACACAUAUGAACCAGAAAAAUAAUAGAACCAAGUUGGAAUGGACCCACAAGGAUCAUCAAGUCCAACUCCUGGCUCCACACAGGACCACCCAAAGUUCAAACCCUGUGUCGAGAGCAUUGUCCAAACGCUUCUGGAACUCCAGCAGCUUGGGGCCGUGACUGCUGCCCUGAGGAGACUGUUCCAUGCCCACCACCCUCUGGUGAAGAACCUUUUCCUAACAUCCAACCUGACCCUUCCUGAGGCAGCCCCAUGCUGUUCCCUUGGGUCCUGUUGCUGUCACCAGAGAGCAGAGCUCAGUGCUGUCUCUCCAAUCCCCGUGUAAGAAAGUUGUAGGCCACCAUGAGGCCUGCCAUCAGCCUCCACUUCUGCAGCCAGAAAUAGAAGUAUAAUUCAUACAAAUUCCUGGCUAUGUGGCUGGUGCCAGCAUGAGGGCUUUGGUUUUUAUGACAGUGGGACUUUCUAUGAAGAUUAUAGCCUGUUAAGGAGGGAUGAGAUCCACAUGUCUAGAAGAGGCAGGGCAGUCUUUGGCAGCAGGCUAGUUGGCUGACCUAGUGAGUUGAGCUUUAAACUGAAGGACUUAGGGAGUGAGGUCCAAAAUGGCAAUGCUCAUGUCACUGCAAGCACCUAGGGAAUAUCCAGACCAAUCAGAACAGUGACAAAUGUUCCUUAGCUGCCUCCCAUGACAUGAGCCAGAAGGUCAACUAUCGCAAAGGUGUGGAGGAUUCUCUUGCAUCCCUCUAGGGAAAUCUGCAUCCUCUGCUCCCUUUUCAUAUCUGAAGUGCUUGUAUGUCAACGCAUACAGCAUGGAAUCACAGAAUCACAGAAUGGCCCAGGUUGGAAGGGACAUCAAGGAUCAUCAAGCUCCAACCCCCUGCCACAGGCAGGGCCACCAAUCUCCACAUUUAGUACUAGACCAGGCUGCCCAGGGCCCCAUCCAACCUGGCCUUGAGCAUCUUCAGUGACAGGGCAUCCACAACCUCUCUGGGAAGCCUAUUCCAGAACCUCACCACUCUUAGAAUAAGGAAAUUCCCCUGACAUCCAACCUAAAUUUUCCCUCCUUCAACCUAAAACCAUUUGGAGAACUUAAAACCAAUGGAGAAUAAGCAGGAUGAAUUAGAGAUCUGUGUGUGGUUGCUGGGCUGUAACCUCAUUACAGUCACAGAGAUAUGGUGGGAUAGUUCACAUGACUGGAAUGUUGUCACGGAUGGCUAAUGUACUUUUUUGGGAAAGACAAGCCAGCAAAGCAAGGCAGUGGAGUUGCUCUUUGUGAGGCAGAAAUUGGAAUGUACCAAGCUCUGACUAGGGAUGAAUGAUGAACAAGUGGAGAGCUUAUGGGUGAGAACAAAGGGUCAGACUAAUAUGGUGACAUGGUUGUGGGUCUUUACUAUAGGCCACCUAAUCAAGAAGAGGGAGUUGAUGAGGAUGUUACAGAUAGCUGAAAGUAGCCUCACAAUCACAGGCAUGGGGGACUUCAACUAUCCUCAUAUUUACUGCCAGGCGCACACAGCCCACAAGGUUCCUGCAGGGCAUGGAAGAUAAAGUUUCUGAUGCAGGUGGUGAAGGAGCCAACAAGGAGAGGUGUGCUGCUAGACCUUGGUCUUACAAACAAGGAAGGACUCACUGGGGAUAUGAAGGCAGGGGGCACCCUCAGGUACAGCAAACAUGAGAUAGUGGAGUUUAGCAUCUUACAUGGAAGAAACAAGGCAAUAAGUAGGAUUGCAACCCUGGACUUCAAGAGAGAGAAUUUUAAUCUCUUCAGUGACCUUCUUGGAGGUAUCCUAUGGAUUAGAUCAUUGGAAGGUAAAGGGACCCAUGAGAGUUGGUUGACAUUCAAGCACCACUUCUUCCAAGCUCAAGGUCAGUGCAACACUAGAAGUAAGAAGUCAGGCAAAAGUGGCAGGAGACCCACAUGGAUGAACAAGGAGCUCAUAGAAAAAUGUCUACAGAACACAGAAAAGAGAUCUGAACAUUUGAGAAGAAUAUAGGAACAUUGUGAGGGCAUGCAGGGAUGUGAUGAGAAAGACUAAGGUCCAUUUGGAAUUAAAUGUGGUGAGAGAGGUCAAGGACAACAAGAAGGGCUUUUUAAAGUAUGACAGUAGCAAAACAAAGACUAGGGAAAAUGUGGGUCCACUGCUGAAUGAGAUGGGUGCCUUGGUAAUGGAGGACACUGAGAAGGUGAAGUUACUGAAUACCUUCUUUGUUUUAGUCUUUAUUAGUAAUACUGCCCUUUCGGAGUCCCAGACCCUGAAGGUAAAAAGAGAGAAUCUGGAGAAAGGUAGACUUUCCCACUGUUGAAGAGAAUCUGGUCAGAGAUCAUCGAGGCAAACUGAGUGCACACAAAUCCAUGGGCCCCAAUGGGAUUCACACCAUGCAUGCUGACAGAGCUGGCAGAAGUGAUUGCCGUGCCACACUUUAGAGGUGCCGGAGAAGUGGAGGAACUCCAGUGUCACUUCAGUCUUCAAAAAGUGCAAGAAGAAGGAGCCAGGAAACUACAGUCAGCCUCACAUCCACCCCUAUGAAGAUGAUAGAACAGCUUAUUCUGGAUAUCAUCUCCAAGUAAGUGGAAGAAAAGGUUAUCAGGAGUAGUCAACAUGGACUCACCAAGGGGAAGUCAUGCUUGAACAAUUUGGUAGCCUUCUAUGAUACCGUGACCAUCUGGGUAGACGGAGGGAGAACAGUGAAUGCUGUCUACCUUGACUUCAGUAAGGCUUCUGACACUGUCUUCCAUAACACCCUCAUAAGUAAGCUUAGAAAGUGUGGGGCCAGGUUCUUUCCAGUGGUGCCCAGAGAGAGAACAAGGGGCAAGGGGUACAAACUAGAACAUGGGAACUUCCAUAUGAUCAUGAGGAGAAACUUACUUUGAGGGUUACAGAGCACUGAAACAUGCUACCCAAAGAGGUUGUGAAUCUCCUCUGGAGAUAUUCAGGACCUACCUGGUUGCUUUCCUGCGUGACCUACUGUAGGGAACCUGCUUUAGCAGGGAGGUGGGCUAAAUGAUCUGCUGAGGUCCCUUCCAACUCCUAUAAUUCAGUGAUUCUUUGAUUCUGUGGUGUCUGCCCAGAGCAAUUCUCAUGCUCAUCAGACCUUCAGGUCCACCUGAGACCAUUGCAGCCCUAUGUCUGCCCAUAUGAGGCAUACAGGUACUACUUAACUCACAGCCAUAGGAAAGACAAGGAAGGGUUUUCCUUGAUUUUCUCCACAUAUUUUUCCUUUUUUUCACAUGGUCUCAUGACUGAGAAAAAUUCUUUUUAAAAGUUAGGAGUUCUUUUUGUUUUGUUUUGUCUGUUUGUUUAUAUUUUUGAAUGUAUUUUCAUCACUGUCUGACAGGAAUGCCAGAUUCACAAGUUUGAAAAUUCUGCAUGUUAACAUAUAAAAUAAAAUAAAAUAAAAUAAAAUAAAAUAAAAUAAAAUAAAAUAAAAUAAAAUAAAAUGCAUUUCGCAAGGCCACAUAGAGGUGAAGAAACCACACUUCAAAAUGUUUCAUCUCACCAAAAAUGUCUUUCACAACUUUAACCUGCUUUAAGCAUGAUCCACCAGCAAAGCAGGCUCACCACACUUAUGAGCUAGCACAGUUCUUCAGUUCAUAACUAAACUUUCCAAAAAGAUGCUCUACCAUAUUUUUUUCAUUUAUGGUAGAUCAUCAUUAUGCUAUAUAACUUAUGGGACACAUUUUGAAAAUACCAUGUGUUGCUUAUACUGCUAUUUCAGAAAUUUAAGGAAAUAAACCUUACUACA